GGAAUGUUGGUUUAGCAGACUAACAAAAGAUUAGAAAGCAGGAGAGGGAAACAGUUUGAAGAAUAUGCUGGUUACUGGAAGAGCAGACAUACUUGCUUAUGGGAGCAGAAAAUAUGAUGAUGUGAUUUCCAGACAAAUAGGUUCAUCAGCCACAGGUUCUAACCAUGUUUUGAGGUAACUUCAUAAGAACAUGAAGUCCAGGAUGAAUGAUUUAGUUGGUAAAUACAUGGGCCUCUUAUACGAAGUUCCAGGUAUGUGUCUUUCUCCCACAGCUACCCAGAAAUUUGGUGCUCAAAAAUCUGGAGCUGUACCAUCUGUCCAAGGUAACAGUACUGAGAUUUGAUAUCCUACAAAUAUCUGUGGGCUUAUUUUGAGAUUUCCCACUGAAUGACAAGGAUAAGAGAACAAGGAGUGACACAGUUAAUGGAGAAAGGAGUUUGUAUCUCAUUUAGCACAAAAUCCAGAAGGUGCAACCCUGCUUUACUCACAACAGUGGAUUAUGCCACUGAUUUCAGAAAUGCAAGGAUCUAUCCACAAUAAACUACUUGGCAGCCCCUACAAGCUAAGUAAACCUCAGAUUUUAUUUAACACUGGUUUAAAUGCAAUGAGAUUGUCUUUUGUAUUUACAGCUCCCAGGCCUGUUGAAUGCACAGGCCCAAUGCCAAAUGAAAAUAAAAUUAAAAAAUCUUGUGCUGAUGAUCUGUAAUAUUUCAUCAGCUUUUAAACUAAUACAGUACAAUAUUGAGCAGCUGAACCUCAAAUCCAAACAGCACAUAUAGUGAAUAAAUUCAUGCACUUUCCCAAAUUAGAUCCUUUGCUGAAAAGAUUUACAAACAUUUGUUAUGGUUAGCUGGAGAAUAAGCUUUGGAUAUAUUAAAGUAUUAUUCUACUUUAUUUUUCUAUAAAUUAGAAAAAUCCAUUUAUAAAUCCAAUAUUAAUAUGUAUAUUCAAAUGAUAGGUAUGGCAUAGAUUAGUGGUGGCCUCUAUACUUACAUUCUUUCCCCUUAUCUGCUUAAUUUUAGAAGCUAAUAAACUUUGGUAGACUGACAUCUUUGACAGUAAACAAACUAGCAUUCAGGAAGCAUUGCGUGAAUGCUUCUGCAUAUUUUCAUAGAGACAGAACUUUUAGCUUGUUUCUACUUGGAAUGAAUUUGCACUGCACUAUUAACAAUAGUCUUAUUAUUGUAAGAAAAAAAUGGAAGAUUAAAAUUUGGUAUGUACAGUAUGUUAAAAAUAGAAGAUUAAUAUUAUCUGGGCAAAAACAAACAAUUAUUCCUUGUUCUGCCAGGAUAUGUUAACAAGUAGGACAUCAAUAUAAUUCUGUCCCAAGAUGAUAAAGAUGAUCCAGUGUAUAACAUCACUGAAAGCCAUGAAUAGGAUUGUUAGUCAUAGCUCCAUUGUGAAUUUGAAAAAGUGUAAACUAUCUCUAAAUUCAUUUAUCAUCACGCUGUUCAGUAGCUAAUGCCACUGGCUAAAAGGGCUAUAUAUGAUAUUUUUUCUGGGCAUUUAUAAUUCAGGCUUUAACGUUCUAUUGAAAAUUAAGCCCUGAUUUAAAAGGAUAAGAAUGGUUUCCUUUCAUUUUCCAUCUAGGAAAUUUAAUAAAAUGAUCUAUGGUAUUCCCUAGGAAAUGAAGGCAGGAUGACACCUACAUUUAGUAAUCCAGCUGGUAUAUUAGAUAAAUUAUGCAAGAACUUUCUGGGACCACAGAGACUACUUCAUCUUCUUCAAGAUAAGUUGGUAAGUGGAUAAAUAUUGCAAUACGGUAGGUAAAAGAUGCACCUGCAUAAGGGCCUUUUUGUUCUAUUGUAAUGACUAAACAUGAUGAAUCUUACCUUACAUUAUAUUAUUCUUCCUUCUGCUCAGAUUGCACCCAUUACAGCAGACUGAAUAAUUGAAAAAGAUUUUGAGACAAUUUAGCCUCAGAACUGGAAGUGCCAAAUUGAACUAUUAAAUGCACUGUUAUAAGAAAGCAGAGAAGAGAUGAAGAAACAGACAAAAUUAUAUCGGGCUGAAGAGAACAGAGUUCUCAGAGACCAUAAGGGUAAGAUGGAAUAUACAAAGUUCAGCUGAUCUGCAGGAAUGGGUGAAGAAGAAUGCUAAUAAGGAAGAAGUAACAUUAAAGGAGACCAAUAGAGUGAGAGAAUGGAAGAGUAUGGAAUAUGGCAGGUGCAAGAGAAACACAUGGGGAGAUUUCAUAUCCAACAAUGGUUAAAGUCCCAUCCCUUCAAGUUUUCCAGAAAGAAAUUAUAAUGAAAGCUUGCUUUGGUGGUACUUAAGCAAGGAUAGAGUACUCUGCUUUUUAGUAAACAUGGCAAUGUGAAUAUGGUUGCUUUAAAAAAAAGAAAUACUUUCUGCAGUGAAGUGCGUAUAAAUCAAAUUCACCACCUGAACAGAUGUCACAACAGUUUCAAUGAACAUUUCUUUAUAACUGUUGGUCAUCUGUACAGUAUAUCAUUUUGUCAGAAGAAUAGCUUUUUGGUGGAGUUGCUGCUUCUGUGCUGGGCUUGUUAAUAUACAAUAACAUUUCAAAGUCUAUGGUCUGGGUCUGUGUUUCUCUCUGCAGGACAGUCACACACACUUUUACAUAAAAUUAGAUUGUUCUGGGAUUUGGAUAAAGCUUGCUUCUUUAUCACUACAUAAGUUGCAAUAUUAUUAUCAUGCAAGGCCAUAGAUUUUCGUUUCACUAGAAAUACUCUCCUUUUCUCAAUCUCUUUCUCUCUUUCUCUCUCAUGUUUGUUUAUUCCAAGAAAAAACUUAUAUUAUCCGUAUAAAAUAGCUGAUUCUUCAAUUAAUAGUUAUUGAAUGGGCCCAGACAGGAACUAGUGCAACUAGUACAGGUACUAGUAUUGGGACUGAGUUAAAGAAUGGGACAUUUGGUUACAUACAUCUUGUUACAUACAAUGUACCAUUCAACCUCUUCCUCUAUGCUUAUAUAGCCUGUAGCUGAAAACAAGAUAACAACUUUUCAAUAAGCCAUAGUCAUGCAAUCAGCUGAUAAUCAUUAUAGGGAAAUCAGGGAAGAGGAAUUUAGGAAAGGGUUUAAAUGUUUAAAUGUUAAAUGUUUUCUGGAUUUAGUUUAAAUGUUUUAAAUGUUUUCUGGAUCCAUCAGCCUUCCCAAUGUGGUAUCCUCCAGAUAUGUGAGACUUAAAUUUCCAUAGUUUCUGGGAGAUGGUUAGAACUGUUGGAGCUGGUAUACCCAGGUAUAUAUUUAUUCUUUCAAUUCCUUUUUUUUUUUUACAAACACAACACAAAACUUUGCUUAAAAAAUUCUGCUCAAGCCCCAGAAAGGCCUGCAAAAAGUAACCCUUGAAUUGAAGGAGGUGAAAACUUAACACCUGUUUCUAUUUAUUGGGGAAGUGGCAUAAAAUACAAAGAAAUAGAAAAGAAAGUUUGAAAGGAGUAGUAAAUGAUCAGAAAUUACCAGGCAUGCUGAAAAGUGGAAAUAUUGAAUUUCUACAAAUGUCUUUUAAAAAUAAAGAGCAAAACUCUCUCUCUCUCUCUGUCUCUGUCUCUCUCUCACACACACGCACGCACACAUUAAUAGGCUGAGUGUAAUGCAACCAGAUUUCUUUCAGCAAAACAAUUUUGCAUAAGAAUAAAGUUUGUUGGUUCAAAUUAUACCUCUGUCAACAAAAAGCAAAUCCUAGUGAAUCUUUGCUGAUGGUUAGUGAGGUUUUGCUGCUUAUUUUUGAGAGGAGGAGGCAAAGCUAAUAAAGAGUCUUCGUAUAUGCAAGAAUGUAUUAAGAUUUUAAAGCAUAAUUCUUUAGCAAUUCCCUUUAUAGCCAAAUAGCACACUAAUGUGAGGAGCAAUAGUGGAAUCAAAUCCCGCUAUGAGACAAAGAAAGUAAUUUUUCUUCUUUUUUUAACUUUAGGAAUUUAGCAACCUCCAGGAAUUACAUUGA
Molecule: long non-coding RNA, 3902 nt
Organism: Python bivittatus (Burmese python)
Lineage: Eukaryota; Metazoa; Chordata; Lepidosauria; Squamata; Pythonidae
Source: RefSeq, a predicted model, not a curated record